UGCAGUCGAGCGAUGGAUUAAGAGCUUGCUCUUAUGAAGUUAGCGGCGGACGGGUGAGUAACACGUGGGUAACCUGCCCAUAAGACUGGGAUAACUCCGGGAAACCGGGGCUAAUACCGGAUAAAUUAAUUGAACUGCAUGGUUCGAAAUUGAAAGGCGGCUUCGGCUGUCACUUAUGGAUGGACCCGCGUCGCAUUAGCUAGUUGGUGAGGUAACGGCUCACCAAGGCAACGAUGCGUAGCCGACCUGAGAGGGUGAUCGGCCACACUGGGACUGAGACACGGCCCAAACUCCUACGGGAGGCAGCAGUAGGGAAUCUUCCGCAAUGGACGAAAGUCUGACGGAGCAACGCCGCGUGAGUGAUGAAGGCUUUCGGGUCGUAAAACUCUGUUGUUAGGGAAGAACAAGUGCUAGUUGAAUAAGCUGGCACCUUGACGGUACCUAACCAGAAAGCCACGGCUAACUACGUGCCAGCAGCCGCGGUAAUACGUAGGUGGCAAGCGUUAUCCGGAAUUAUUGGGCGUAAAGCGCGCGCAGGUGGUUUCGUAAGUCUGAUGUGAAAGCCCACGGCUCAACCGUGGAGGGUCAUUGGAAACUGGGAGACUUGAGUGCAGAAGAGGAAAGUGGAAUUCCAUGUGUAGCGGUGAAAUGCGUAGAGAUAUGGAGGAACACCAGUGGCGAAGGCGAGG
Molecule: ribosomal RNA, 689 nt
Filed under: Bacillus cereus
Lineage: Bacteria; Bacillati; Bacillota; Bacilli; Caryophanales; Bacillaceae
Description: bacterial SSU rRNA
Rfam family: Bacterial small subunit ribosomal RNA
Source: RNAcentral